This 533-nucleotide ribosomal RNA is filed under the name uncultured bacterium. RNAcentral's name for it is "bacterial SSU rRNA". It matches the Rfam family "Bacterial small subunit ribosomal RNA", at positions 977 to 1509 of the family's 1533-position model. The record is from RNAcentral.
GGCCUUGACAUACUAAGAACUUUCCAGAGAUGGAUUGGUGCCUUCGGGAACUUUAGAUACAGGUGCUGCAUGGCUGUCGUCAGCUCGUGUCGUGAGAUGUUGGGUUAAGUCCGCAACGAGCGCAACCCUUUUCCUUAUUUGCCAGCGGGUAAUGCCGGGAACUUUAAGGAUACUGCCAGUGACAAACUGGAGGAAGGCGGGGACGACGUCAAGUCAUCAUGGCCCUUACGGCCAGGGCUACACACGUGCUACAAUGGUCGGUACAAAGGGUUGCUACCUCGCGAGAGGAUGCUAAUCUCAAAAAGCCGAUCGUAGUCCGGAUCGCAGUCUGCAACUCGACUGCGUGAAGUCGGAAUCGCUAGUAAUCGCGGAUCAGAAUGCCGCGGUGAAUACGUUCCCGGGCCUUGUACACACCGCCCGUCACACCAUGGGAGUUUGUUGCACCAGAAGUAGGUAGUCUAACCGCAAGGAGGACGCUUACCACGGUGUGGCCGAUGACUGGGGUGAAGUCGUAACAAGGUAAGCGUAGAUGA